Molecule: long non-coding RNA, 792 nt
Filed under: Jatropha curcas
Lineage: Eukaryota; Viridiplantae; Streptophyta; Magnoliopsida; Malpighiales; Euphorbiaceae
Description: long non-coding RNA (JCUR_LNC003411)
Source: RNAcentral
AGCAGGAUUAGGUAAAGGCCUAACCAUCUGAUGAUCUCUAACCCAAGCUCUAAGGACAGCUCGGGUAACUCCCGGAGUGAUGGUGGAAUCAGAUAAAGAGUCAUCCAUGAUCGGUACAGUCUGAUCUAUUCCCAUCUGCCUCAUAACGCGCGAAGCGCAGUACCAAGUACAAUGGGUAAGGCCUAAAAGGUAAACCUGAGUAUGGUGAGAGCUGACUUGAAUAAAGCGGGUAAUGCCGUACCAAGGUACAAACCAUAGCACUUCGUUUGGACCCAAUUCAAUCAGCCAUGAGGUCCAGGCAUCAGCAGACGGAUGUGUGAUCAAGAUCCUCCGCAUGCGAUACUGGACAGGGUUAUAAGGCAGCAAAGCGGGAGUGGCAACCACUUGGAGAUGGUCCUUCAACCAAACCUGAGUAAUGGAUCCUUUCUAUUACAAAGAGACAGGCCAAAAGAAGAAAAAGAAAAAAAUAGAAAAAGAAGAAAUACCUGAAGAAUAAUAGGAGAAACCGUCCAAUCCUCAAAGCCUAAAGCGGCUCUGUCGAGGCUCCUGAUAGUUUCUGCCAGCACAAUACCACCUAUGCAACCCAUAUCCUCCAUCUGCCGAACCAUGGGACAAAGUCGCAAAUCCCCGUAGCCCGGAUCCUUGUUGAACAAGAAGCCAGCCAAUAAACAAAAAACCAAGGCCCGCAUCCUUAGCCUCAUCCGGUCUGGGUCAUCUGAACAGACCCCUGAAAACUCAUCAAUCAGGGGCAACAAAAUUGCUUUCUGAGCCAACAACCAUGGCCCUAGCUUG